GUAUGAAAUCGUAUCAUUGCAAGCUCUACCAAUGCAUACAUCCUGAUCUCUAUCCUGUAUGGCAUGUGUAAACUAAGACUCAUCAGUAAGUCGAAGACCACCAACUGGCUAUGUCUCCUAUCCUCCGAUCCUUCCAUGAUCAUCAAAUCCAUGAUCAGCUGAAGAACUACCAUCACUGCUCCAUUUGAUAUCUAAAUUUGAGUGAACUGAAUGCUCGGACUAUACUAGGGCCGCACUUGCCUUUCUUUUUCUUUUGUUCUUAUCUCGCUCUGCCUGCCUAAGUUGCGUGGAUGCAUGCUGUGGCAUAUCAGCUGGAAGUCUAAAUGGAAUGUUGCUGCUUGCCCACUGAGAGGCGUCUAUCCCAACCUUGCUAGCAACAAAAUUGGUUGGUCAUGGAGGCUUUCCACAUAUCCCUCUUCUUAUCUUUCCUCAACAUACUAUCGAUCCUCUGUUGCUUGAAAUCUCUACUAGAAAAGAAAUGUGAAUCCAAAUCAUGAAUAGUGGCUCCUGUUGAAAUCUUCCUAGAGGACUUCUUUCUACUAUCAAAUGCUCCCAACAUAGAUGCAAGAUAACUGAUGCCUGAACUGACAAGCUCUCUAACUGAGGAUGUCCUCCUAAACUGUGACUCAGAUUCUGCUGCAGUACUCUUUGAGCCUGACUCUUCCUCAUAAACCGGUGGUCCAAAUCGAGUUCUAUGCCUGACCAGCUCCUCUAGCUACCACUGAUCAUUUAAACUCGUCCAAAUGGCUGCAUCGAUCUAUGCCUGCUUAUCAUCUGGAGCAGAUCCUUCCUCUGACUCUAGAGUGAUAAGGUAGCCCUACUGCUCGACGGUCCAUCUCUACCUUUUUUCUCAAAUUCUUUUCUUCACUGCUUUAAACUCAGCAAAAUACUUUUCAUCAACUGACGGACUUUCUGUGGAUAUUUAUGGUACAUAGCUGCAUUCGGAUAGCAGCCAGCCAAAUGUUGCUUCAACCGUAUGAUCCCUCCUUUGAAUUCUAUAUUACACUAUUUAUAUCUCCAAUGAUGCUGACCUGAGAGCAUCUCUCCAUGCUCCCAACCAGUGUCACGCUCUGGAUCCUUCUUUCAUAAUGAAUCUAUUUCUAAAAAUUGACAAGCAUAUUACUUUAAUAAUUAUAUAAAAAUGACAUAUUUUAUUUACUAAUUUUUUUAUUUUUAAAUUAUUUAAUUAUUUUUUAUUAUUUUUUAAAAAAUAUAUUAAAAACUAAAAAAUAUGAAAAAAAUAAUUGAUCUUAGAUCCAUGUGGGAUCCUACCAUUGAUGCUACAUAUAAAUUUUUUAAUCCAUGAACAUGCAUAAAAUCUUU
Molecule: long non-coding RNA, 1323 nt
Filed under: Elaeis guineensis (African oil palm)
Lineage: Eukaryota; Viridiplantae; Streptophyta; Magnoliopsida; Arecales; Arecaceae
Description: long non-coding RNA (EGUI_LNC046269)
Source: RNAcentral